RNAcentral lists this ribosomal RNA (2757 nucleotides) under Staphylococcus aureus. RNAcentral's name for it is "partial 23S ribosomal RNA". It matches the Rfam family "Bacterial large subunit ribosomal RNA". The record is from RNAcentral. Lineage: Bacteria; Bacillati; Bacillota; Bacilli; Caryophanales; Staphylococcaceae. RNAcentral also lists the same sequence under 1 other name.
UAGCAUAUCAGAAGGCACACCCGGAGAACUGAAACAUCUUAGUACCCGGAGGAAGAGAAAGAAAAUUCGAUUCCCUUAGUAGCGGCGAGCGAAACGGGAAGAGCCCAAACCAACAAGCUUGCUUGUUGGGGUUGUAGGACACUCUAUACGGAGUUACAAAGGACGACAUUAGACGAAUCAUCUGGAAAGAUGAAUCAAAGAAGGUAAUAAUCCUGUAGUCGAAAAUGUUGUCUCUCUUGAGUGGAUCCUGAGUACGACGGAGCACGUGAAAUUCCGUCGGAAUCUGGGAGGACCAUCUCCUAAGGCUAAAUACUCUCUAGUGACCGAUAGUGAACCAGUACCGUGAGGGAAAGGUGAAAAGCACCCCGGAAGGGGAGUGAAAUAGAACCUGAAACCGUGUGCUUACAAGUAGUCAGAGCCCGUUAAUGGGUGAUGGCGUGCCUUUUGUAGAAUGAACCGGCGAGUUACGAUUUGAUGCAAGGUUAAGCAGUAAAUGUGGAGCCGUAGCGAAAGCGAGUCUGAAUAGGGCGUUUAGUAUUUGGUCGUAGACCCGAAACCAGGUGAUCUACCCUUGGUCAGGUUGAAGUUCAGGUAACACUGAAUGGAGGACCGAACCGACUUACGUUGAAAAGUGAGCGGAUGAACUGAGGGUAGCGGAGAAAUUCCAAUCGAACCUGGAGAUAGCUGGUUCUCUCCGAAAUAGCUUUAGGGCUAGCCUCAAGUGAUGAUUAUUGGAGGUAGAGCACUGUUUGGACGAGGGGCCCCUCUCGGGUUACCGAAUUCAGACAAACUCCGAAUGCCAAUUAAUUUAACUUGGGAGUCAGAACAUGGGUGAUAAGGUCCGUGUUCGAAAGGGAAACAGCCCAGACCACCAGCUAAGGUCCCAAAAUAUAUGUUAAGUGGAAAAGGAUGUGGCGUUGCCCAGACAACUAGGAUGUUGGCUUAGAAGCAGCCAUCAUUUAAAGAGUGCGUAAUAGCUCACUAGUCGAGUGACACUGCGCCGAAAAUGUACCGGGGCUAAACAUAUUACCGAAGCUGUGGAUUGUCCUUUGGACAAUGGUAGGAGAGCGUUCUAAGGGCGUUGAAGCAUGAUCGUAAGGACAUGUGGAGCGCUUAGAAGUGAGAAUGCCGGUGUGAGUAGCGAAAGACGGGUGAGAAUCCCGUCCACCGAUUGACUAAGGUUUCCAGAGGAAGGCUCGUCCGCUCUGGGUUAGUCGGGUCCUAAGCUGAGGCCGACAGGCGUAGGCGAUGGAUAACAGGUUGAUAUUCCUGUACCACCUAUAAUCGUUUUAAUCGAUGGGGGGACGCAGUAGGAUAGGCGAAGCGUGCGAUUGGAUUGCACGUCUAAGCAGUAAGGCUGAGUAUUAGGCAAAUCCGGUACUCGUUAAGGCUGAGCUGUGAUGGGGAGAAGACAUUGUGUCUUCGAGUCGUUGAUUUCACACUGCCGAGAAAAGCCUCUAGAUAGAAAAUAGGUGCCCGUACCGCAAACCGACACAGGUAGUCAAGAUGAGAAUUCUAAGGUGAGCGAGCGAACUCUCGUUAAGGAACUCGGCAAAAUGACCCCGUAACUUCGGGAGAAGGGGUGCUCUUUAGGGUUAACGCCCAGAAGAGCCGCAGUGAAUAGGCCCAAGCGACUGUUUAUCAAAAACACAGGUCUCUGCUAAACCGUAAGGUGAUGUAUAGGGGCUGACGCCUGCCCGGUGCUGGAAGGUUAAGAGGAGUGGUUAGCUUCUGCGAAGCUACGAAUCGAAGCCCCAGUAAACGGCGGCCGUAACUAUAACGGUCCUAAGGUAGCGAAAUUCCUUGUCGGGUAAGUUCCGACCCGCACGAAAGGCGUAACGAUUUGGGCACUGUCUCAACGAGAGACUCGGUGAAAUCAUAGUACCUGUGAAGAUGCAGGUUACCCGCGACAGGACGGAAAGACCCCGUGGAGCUUUACUGUAGCCUGAUAUUGAAAUUCGGCACAGCUUGUACAGGAUAGGUAGGAGCCUUUGAAACGUGAGCGCUAGCUUACGUGGAGGCGCUGGUGGGAUACUACCCUAGCUGUGUUGGCUUUCUAACCCGCACCACUUAUCGUGGUGGGAGACAGUGUCAGGCGGGCAGUUUGACUGGGGCGGUCGCCUCCUAAAAGGUAACGGAGGCGCUCAAAGGUUCCCUCAGAAUGGUUGGAAAUCAUUCAUAGAGUGUAAAGGCAUAAGGGAGCUUGACUGCGAGACCUACAAGUCGAGCAGGGUCGAAAGACGGACUUAGUGAUCCGGUGGUUCCGCAUGGAAGGGCCAUCGCUCAACGGAUAAAAGCUACCCCGGGGAUAACAGGCUUAUCUCCCCCAAGAGUUCACAUCGACGGGGAGGUUUGGCACCUCGAUGUCGGCUCAUCGCAUCCUGGGGCUGUAGUCGGUCCCAAGGGUUGGGCUGUUCGCCCAUUAAAGCGGUACGCGAGCUGGGUUCAGAACGUCGUGAGACAGUUCGGUCCCUAUCCGUCGUGGGCGUAGGAAAUUUGAGAGGAGCUGUCCUUAGUACGAGAGGACCGGGAUGGACAUACCUCUGGUGUACCAGUUGUCGUGCCAACGGCAUAGCUGGGUAGCUAUGUGUGGACGGGAUAAGUGCUGAAAGCAUCUAAGCAUGAAGCCCCCCUCAAGAUGAGAUUUCCCAACUUCGGUUAUAAGAUCCCUCAAAGAUGAUGAGGUUAAUAGGUUCGAGGUGGAAGCAUGGUGACAUGUGGAGCUGACGAAUACUAAUCGAUCGAAGACUUAAUCAA